This 789-nucleotide ribosomal RNA is filed under the name uncultured bacterium. RNAcentral describes it as "bacterial SSU rRNA". It matches the Rfam family "Bacterial small subunit ribosomal RNA", at positions 8 to 796 of the family's 1533-position model. The record is from RNAcentral.
AGAGUUUGAUCAUGGCUCAGAACGAACGCUGGCGGCGUUAACACAUGCAAGUCGCGUGCGCAGUUUCCGUAGCAAUACGGGGAUGGGCGCACGGCGCACGGGUGCGUAACACGUGGGCAAUCUGCCCUCCGAUGGGGAAUACCCCCGCGAAAGCGGGACUAAUUCCGCAUAACAUUCCUUGGAUUAACUUUCGAGGAUUCAAAGCAGCAAUGCGUCGGAGGAGGAGCCCGCGCCCGAUUAGCUAGUUGGUGAGGUAACGGCCCACCAAGGCAAUGAUCGGUAGCUGGUCUGAGAGGAUGGCCAGCCACACUGGAACUGAGACACGGUCCAGACUCCUACGGGAGGCAGCAGUGGGGAAUCUUGCACAAUGGGCGAAAGCCUGAUGCAGCGACGCCGCGUGGGGGAUGAAGCUUUUCGGAGUGUAAACCCCUUUCGACUGGGACGAAUGCCUCGCAAGAGGAGUGACGGUACCAGUAUAAGAAGCCCCGGCUAACUACGUGCCAGCAGCCGCGGUAAGACGUAGGGGGCCAGCGUUGUUCGGAAUUACUGGGUGUAAAGGGUUCGUAGGCGGUGUGGCAAGUCGGGAGUGAAAUCUCUGGGCUCAACCCAGAGACUGCUUCCGAAACUGCUGUGCUUGAGUGUGAGAGAGGCUCGUGGAAUUGCAGGUGUAGCGGUGAAAUGCGUAGAUAUCUGCAGGAACACCCGUGGCGAAAGCGGCGAGCUGGAUCACUACUGACGCUGAAGAACGAAAGCUAGGGGAGCAAACAGGAUUAGAUACCCUAGUAGUCC